Molecule: ribosomal RNA, 119 nt
Organism: Pygocentrus nattereri (red-bellied piranha)
Lineage: Eukaryota; Metazoa; Chordata; Actinopteri; Characiformes; Serrasalmidae
Source: Ensembl
GCUUACGGCCAUACCACCCUGAGAACGCCCGAUCUCGUCUGAUCUCGGAAGCUAAGCAGGGUCGGGCCUGGUUAGUACUUGGAUGGGAGACCGCCUGGGAAUACCAGGUGCUGUAAGCN